UGGGGAAUUUUGGACAAUGGGCGCAAGCCUGAUCCAGCAAUGCCGCGUGCAGGAAGAAGGCCUUCGGGUUGUAAACUGCUUUUGUCAGGGAAGAAAUCUUCUGGGUUAAUACCUCGGGAGGAUGACGGUACCUGAAGAAUAAGCACCGGCUAACUACGUGCCAGCAGCCGCGGUAAUACGUAGGGUGCGAGCGUUAAUCGGAAUUACUGGGCGUAAAGCGUGCGCAGGCGGCUUUGCAAGACAGAUGUGAAAUCCCCGGGCUCAACCUGGGAACUGCAUUUGUGACUGCAAGGCUAGAGUACGGCAGAGGGGGAUGGAAUUCCGCGUGUAGCAGUGAAAUGCGUAGAUAUGCGGAGGAACACCAAUGGCGAAGGCAAUCCCCUGGGCCUGUACUGACGCUCAUGCACGAAAGCGUGGGGAGCAAACAGG
This 429-nucleotide ribosomal RNA is filed under the name Actinomycetes bacterium. RNAcentral describes it as "Actinobacteria bacterium partial 16S ribosomal RNA". It matches the Rfam family "Bacterial small subunit ribosomal RNA", at positions 355 to 776 of the family's 1533-position model. The record is from RNAcentral. Lineage: Bacteria; Bacillati; Actinomycetota; Actinomycetes.